GGUGAGGUUCCCGAGCGGCCAAAGGGAUCAGACUGUAAAUCUGACGGCGAUGCCUUCGAUGGUUCGAAUCCAUCCCUCACCA
Molecule: transfer RNA, 82 nt
Filed under: Spirochaetota bacterium
Lineage: Bacteria; Pseudomonadati; Spirochaetota
Description: Spirochaetes bacterium tRNA-Tyr
Rfam family: tRNA
About the family: Transfer RNA (tRNA) molecules are approximately 80 nucleotides in length. Their secondary structure includes four short double-helical elements and three loops (D, anti-codon, and T loops). Further hydrogen bonds mediate the characteristic L-shaped molecular structure. tRNAs have two regions of fundamental functional importance: the anti-codon, which is responsible for specific mRNA codon recognition, and the 3' end, to which the tRNAs corresponding amino acid is attached (by aminoacyl-tRNA synthetases). tRNAs cope with the degeneracy of the genetic code in two manners: having more than one tRNA (with a specific anti-codon) for a particular amino acid; and 'wobble' base-pairing, i.e. permitting non-standard base-pairing at the 3rd anti-codon position.
Source: RNAcentral